RNAcentral lists this ribosomal RNA (47 nucleotides) under fungal sp. CTH-2008. RNAcentral's name for it is "partial 18S ribosomal RNA". It matches the Rfam family "Eukaryotic small subunit ribosomal RNA", at positions 1788 to 1831 of the family's 1831-position model. Lineage: Eukaryota; Fungi. The record is from RNAcentral.
GUCGUAACAAGGUUUCCGUAGGUGAACCUGCGGAAGGAUCAUUACCG